RNAcentral lists this ribosomal RNA (810 nucleotides) under Trichechus manatus (West Indian manatee). RNAcentral describes it as "partial 16S ribosomal RNA". The stretch from base 157 to 810 matches the Rfam family "Bacterial large subunit ribosomal RNA", at positions 569 to 1721 of the family's 2925-position model. The record is from RNAcentral. Lineage: Eukaryota; Metazoa; Chordata; Mammalia; Sirenia; Trichechidae.
AAGCCUAGCCCGACCCGACCCAAACAAAACUACCACACACAACUAAACUAAAACAUUUACCCACCUAUUAAAAGUAUAGGAGAUAGAAAUUGAACUCAGGCGCUAUAGAGACAGUACCGUAAGGGAAAGAUGAAAGAUUAAAUUACAGUACAAAACAGCAAAGAUUAACCCUUAUACCUUUUGCAUAAUGAAUUAACUAGAACAAUCUGACGAAGCGAACUGCAGCCAGAAGUCCCGAAACCGGACGAGCUACCUACAAGCAGUCUAAAGGACGAACUCAUCUAUGUGGCAAAAUAGUGAGAAGACUUGAAGGUAGGGGUGAAAAGCCAACCGAGCCCGGUGAUAGCUGGUUGUCCAGGAUAGAAUUUUAGUUCUACCUAAAAUUUACUAAAAAGAAACAUUAAUCCCUAUGUAAACUUUAGAGGUACUCAAAAGAGGUACAGCUCUUUUGACACAGGAUACAACCUUAGCUAGAGAGUAAGCAUUUCACAAUCCAUAGUAGGCCUAGAAGCAGCCACCAAUUAAGAAAGCGUUAAAGCUCAACACCAUUAAACUCGUUAAUACCCUUAAAAUUAGCCAUCUCCUAGACCUAAUACUGGACUAUUCUAUUUUUUAAUAGAAGAAAUAAUGUUAAUAUAAGUAACAAGAAUUAUUUCUCCCUGCAUAAGCUUAUAUCAGAACGGAUGCCCACUGAUAGUUAACAACUAGAUAAACUAAACCCACUAACCAGAACCUUAUCAAACCCAUUGUUAACCCAACACAGGCAUGCUUAAAGGGAAAGAUUAAAAGAAGUAAAAGGAACUCGGCAAA